Molecule: ribosomal RNA, 425 nt
Filed under: uncultured bacterium
Lineage: Bacteria
Description: bacterial SSU rRNA
Rfam family: Bacterial small subunit ribosomal RNA
Source: RNAcentral
GUGGGGAAUCUUAGACAAUGGGCGCAAGCCUGAUCUAGCCAUGCCGCGUGAGCGAUGAAGGCCUUAGGGUUGUAAAGCUCUUUCAGCUGGGAAGAUAAUGACGGUACCAGCAGAAGAAGCCCCGGCUAACUCCGUGCCAGCAGCCGCGGUAAUACGGAGGGGGCUAGCGUUGUUCGGAAUUACUAGGCGUAAAGCGCACGUAGGCGGAUCAGAAAGUCAGAGGUGAAAUCCCAGGGCUCAACCUUGGAACUGCCUUUGAAACUCCUGAUCUUGAGGUCGAGAGAGGUGAGUGGAAUUCCGAGUGUAGAGGUGAAAUUCGUAGAUAUUCGGAGGAACACCAGUGGCGAAGGCGGCUCACUGGCUCGAUACUGACGCUGAGGUGCGAAAGCGUGGGGAGCAAACAGGAUUAGAAACCCUGGUAGUCC